GUACAGGUAUGCACCACCAUUCCCGGCUAGAACACCUUCAUCCUCUAUUUUCAUCCUCCUAUUUUAACUUCGUCCUCCUAUUUUAACUUCAUCCUCCUAUUUUAACUUCAUCCUCCUAUUUUAACUAUAAUUUGUAUCCAUUAUCCCAACUCUCCCUAACGUGGGAGGGUCCAACCGGGGGCACUUUAUCCCAGCACCCAGACCAGAAACUUCAGAUUUUCUAACCUCCCGCCCUAGGAUAAGUAGUGACAUUGCCAAGCCUGUGUGAAAACACACAUCCCGGGCUGUGAAGGCAGCUGGGUGAACAAUGACUCCGAGAAGCCCGCAAGGGCAGGUAUGCGGCCGGUGGAGGGGAGAGGUCAGGGUCAGGGUCAGGGUCAGGGUCAGAGGUCAGCAUCUGAAGGCUCAGAUUUAAGGAUCAGGAGGCAGGUACAGCGGAUCUUUGUGGCCCCUGGGCUGCAGAGCACAGAGCACUUGUCUAUGCAGUCUCCGACCUCCCAGAGGGUUCACUGCUGGCUAAGCCUGAUUGGCAUCUGCCGUCCAAACGGAGGCAGUUUCUUCUUAUUAACAUCAUCCUCACCCCGUGCGCAGCAGCACGCACUUCCCACAGGACAAACACUCCCGGUGUUGUGAUCGGGUGAGUUUGAGGUGGGCCUCUUGCGCUGGAAGCAGCCAUUCUUCCGGUGAGAGCAGAGGAGGCCCGUGCAAGGGGACAGGAACAGCCGGUAGCCAGAGGAAAGCCGAGGGCUGGGGCCAGUCCAGCGGCCCCUGCGCAUGAUACCUGCUGACCACAGGCAACAGCCGGCGAGGUGGUGUCAAAGAACGGCUGGCCGCCACCAGCAGGAAGAGGUUAGCAGGCGAAGACUCUGCUUUCGUCGUUAUUCUAUUUCACCCUAAGGCUGCGGAGGGUGAAGUUCUGGUCUCCCAGAGCCAUUCUGGCCUGGGGUGCAUUUGCUGGGUCAGCGCCCUGAGGCAGGGCUUGAAGUUGGUUCUCGGCCCCGCAUGGUGGCAUAUCCCUGUACUCCCAGCAGCCUGGAAGCUGAGGCAGGAGAAUCACAAGAUCGGAGCACAGCCUGAGCGGUGAAGUUCAGUGAAGUGCGGCGAAGGCUUUCAAAUUCUUUCAGAAAGAUGGCAAAAUGGCGCUCAUUUGAACAGGAUCCGUGGAAGAAACAAUGCACGCCCUCACUGAACUUCAUACUCAGGAUCUUGGAGAAAACCACCACCUUCUCAACUUCCACACCUGACUUUUCUAUGAAUUUCCUCCUAAAACCAGACCCUAACUUCAGUAAAACCUUCAAACAUAGACUGAAGGGCCUCAAGAUGAAUUCUGCCUCUCACACAAAAAUAACUGAGCUUAACAUGCCAGCACAUUAAAAUGGAUAUUCUUUGAUGCUUUUCAGUUUUUUCCCUAUCAACAUAUGAUCAAAUGUGUGUUAUCCCUUUUUGCCAUGGUUUGUAUAAAACUAUAUCUUCAGGGGAAAAAAAAAU
Molecule: long non-coding RNA, 1488 nt
Filed under: Chinchilla lanigera (long-tailed chinchilla)
Lineage: Eukaryota; Metazoa; Chordata; Mammalia; Rodentia; Chinchillidae
Description: lncRNA (ENSCLAG00000027192.1)
Source: RNAcentral